Molecule: ribosomal RNA, 649 nt
Filed under: uncultured Symbiodinium
Lineage: Eukaryota; Dinophyceae; Suessiales; Symbiodiniaceae
Description: partial Bacterial large subunit ribosomal RNA
Rfam family: Bacterial large subunit ribosomal RNA
Source: RNAcentral
UGUUUUACUGGGGCGGUAGCUCACUAAAAAGUAACGUGAGCAAGCAAAGAUUAUUAACUAAACCUCAACUGGACAGAAUUAUGUUUGACUGCAAGAAUCACAAUUCAAGCAGGUGCUUUACAGUUUUAAUUAAAAUAAAAGCAGGCAGUAUUGAACCAUUUUGAUCUUAUUUUAUUGAAGACAAAAUGUUUAACGGAUAAAAGCUACGCCGGGGAUAACAGGCUCGUCUGCGCCAAGAGUUCAUAUCGACGCGCAGGUUCGGCACCUCGAUGUUGAAUCAUCGCAUCCUAAGGCUGUACAAGGUCUUAAGGGUUGGGCUGUUCGCCCAUUAAAGUGGUACGUGAGCUGGGUUCAAAACGUCGUGAGACAGUUUGGUCCAUAUCCGGUUUAGGCGUUAGAGCAUUGAGAGGAGCCUUCGAUAGUACGAGAGGAUUUUCGAAAGGUAAGCCAAUAGUGUAUCGGUUAUUUUUCCAAAAGUAAACGCCGAGUAGCCAUGCUUAUAGGGAUAACUGCUGAAAGCAUCUAAGUAGGAAACCCACCUCAAGAUGAGUGCUCUCCAUUAGAUCGCGGCAAGACAAGCCGUUUAAUAGGCAUUAGGUGUACAAUCAGUAAUGGUUUUAGCCGAGAUGUACUAAAGAUCGAUUGAUUU